This 429-nucleotide ribosomal RNA is filed under the name Verrucomicrobiota bacterium. RNAcentral's name for it is "Verrucomicrobia bacterium partial 16S ribosomal RNA". It matches the Rfam family "Bacterial small subunit ribosomal RNA", at positions 355 to 776 of the family's 1533-position model. Lineage: Bacteria; Pseudomonadati; Verrucomicrobiota. The record is from RNAcentral.
UAGGGAAUCUUCCGCAAUGGACGAAAGUCUGACGGAGCAACGCCGCGUGAGUGAAGAAGGAUUUCGGUUCGUAAAACUCUGUUGUUAAGGAAGAACGAGUGUGAGAAUGGAAAGUUCAUGCUGUGACGGUACUUAACCAGAAAGGGACGGCUAACUACGUGCCAGCAGCCGCGGUAAUACGUAGGUCCCGAGCGUUGUCCGGAUUUAUUGGGCGUAAAGCGAGCGCAGGCGGUUAGAAAAGUCUGAAGUGAAAGGCAGUGGCUCAACCAUUGUAGGCUUUGGAAACUGUUUAACUUGAGUGCAGAAGGGGAGAGUGGAAUUCCAUGUGUAGCGGUGAAAUGCGUAGAUAUAUGGAGGAACACCGGUGGCGAAAGCGGCUCUCUGGUCUGUAACUGACGCUGAGGCUCGAAAGCGUGGGGAGCGAACAGG